This 221-nucleotide ribosomal RNA is filed under the name uncultured bacterium. RNAcentral describes it as "partial 16S ribosomal RNA". It matches the Rfam family "Bacterial small subunit ribosomal RNA", at positions 15 to 215 of the family's 1533-position model. The record is from RNAcentral.
GAUCAUGGCUCAGGAUGAACGCUGGCGGCGUGCUUAGCACAUGCAAGUCGAGCGAAGCACUUUGCUUUGAUUUCUUCGGGAUGAAGAGCUUGGUGACUGAGCGGCGGACGGGUGAGUAACGCGUGGGUAACCUGCCUCAUACAGGGGGAUAACAGUUAGAAAUGACUGCUAAUACCGCAUAAGGCCACAGCACCGCAUGGUGCAGGGGUAAAAACUCCGGU